UUUUUCUGGUGGAAGCCGAACAUGAUCAUUUUUCUGAAGCUCACUCACACGUAGCUCUUGAAUAUUCUGAAACAAAAACAUAGCUCUUCACUAAUCCCCUUUUCAUGUCCUUCCGUCCCCUCGCUCCACCAAAAUUGCUUCCACUCGAGCUCAAGAUUCCCAACAACACCUCAAUUCCCCUGUUGAUUCCCUGCCGUGGCCUUGCUCGUCCUCACCUGCACGCACCGCUGCAGCUCGGCUCACUGGUGCGGCCACGGGGCGAGCCUAGUUUCGCUCGCUGUACGCCUCCUUGAUCUCUCAGGCCGGUCAACAGCGACGGAGGGGUAGUAGGGCUCGAUGAGAAGCUGCGCCAUGGAGGAUGCGAGCUUGCCGAUCUUGAAUGUGUCGUCGUCGUUAGCGUCCUUGGAGGCGAUGUGGGCGUGGAUCUCAUCUCCCGGAGCCAGCUUGGAUCCACAUCGAUUGUGAGGAUGCUGGCGGCUUUGUUUUCCCUCGCAUCGUGGUUGUCCCCGAGCAAGGCAGCCCGGUAGGUCCUCUUCAUCCUCGACAGUGGCAGCCUGAAUUCGGCGACUCUUUCUUCCACCUAGAGUCUAUUGGUACAGCAAAAUAUAUGCAAGGGCAAUGAACUGCAAUUUAGGCUUUUCACACACGAGCAAGUGUUUCGACAGAAAGGAGAUCAACUUCCAAGACCAGUGGAUGUUAAGUUCCAAUCUUCAGUUGAAAACACAAAUAUUUUCUAUAUGAUCUCUGUAGAUGGUACUUGCCGGAGGUGGUUUGCUUGCUCGAUGGAGCCGAUCAAUCAAGGAGAUUUGGACACUCGCUCGUGAGAGUUACUUUUUUUUUAGGGAAAGCCAUUAUGACGGUGUAUAUUGAUUUGCAAUAAUAGCUACAUCAGCCGUAAGGACGGCAAGUUAAAAAGCUGGAGGUUGCUUGUCAUGGAUAUGAGUCCAACCUAUUGUGAGUUUUGUUUUUGGGACCGUGAGAUUGAUUGUAAGAUUGGUGUGAAGAACAUGACAUGGAUGGUAAAAUUGAUCGUGAGAUUAGUGUCUUCAUAAGAUA
Molecule: RNA transcript, 1056 nt
Organism: Triticum aestivum (bread wheat)
Lineage: Eukaryota; Viridiplantae; Streptophyta; Magnoliopsida; Poales; Poaceae
Exons: 4
Source: RefSeq, a predicted model, not a curated record